This 208-nucleotide ribosomal RNA is filed under the name uncultured bacterium. Its description in RNAcentral is "partial 16S ribosomal RNA". It matches the Rfam family "Bacterial small subunit ribosomal RNA", at positions 568 to 774 of the family's 1533-position model. The record is from RNAcentral.
CGCGUAGGCGGUCGGGUAAGUCGGGUGUGAAAUUCCGGGGCUCAACCCCGUGAACUGCACUCGAUACUGCUCGACUAGAGAGAGGUAGGGGCGAGUGGAAUUCCCGGUGUAGCGGUGGAAUGCGUAGAUAUCGGGAAGAACACCGGUGGCGAAGGCGGCUCGCUGGGCUUCUUCUGACGCUGAAGCGCGAAAGCGUGGGGAGCAAACA